RNAcentral lists this ribosomal RNA (509 nucleotides) under uncultured bacterium. RNAcentral describes it as "bacterial SSU rRNA". It matches the Rfam family "Bacterial small subunit ribosomal RNA", at positions 36 to 518 of the family's 1533-position model. The record is from RNAcentral.
CUGGCGGCGUGCCUAAUACAUGCAAGUCGAACGGUCUUUCUAUGGAAGCUUGCUUCCACUGAGAAGAUAGUGGCGAACGGGUGAGUAACACGUGGGUAACCUGCCCAUAAGAGGGGGAUAACAUCCGGAAACGGGUGCUAAUACCGCAUAGUUUUCUUGAUCGCAUGAUUGAGAAAGGAAAGACGGCCUUUGUGCUGUCGCUUAUGGAUGGACCCGCGGCGUAUUAGUUAGUUGGUGAGGUAACGGCUCACCAAGACGAUGAUACGUAGCCGACCUGAGAGGGUGAUCGGCCACAUUGGGACUGAGACACGGCCCAAACUCCUACGGGAGGCAGCAGUAGGGAAUCUUCCGCAAUGGACGAAAGUCUGACGGAGCAACGCCGCGUGAGUGAAGAAAGGUUUUCGGAUCGUAAAACUCUGUUGUCAGAGAAGAACAAGUUGGAGAGUAACUGCUCCAGCCUUGACGGUAUCUGACCAGAAAGCCACGGCUAACUACGUGCCAGCCGCCGC